GAUAAGAAGAGGAAUUAAACCUCUGUAAAAAGGCUACAGCCUAACGCCUAAACAUUCAGCCAUCUUACCUUCAGGCAUGAUGAAAUUUC
Molecule: transfer RNA, 89 nt
Filed under: Grallaria squamigera (undulated antpitta)
Lineage: Eukaryota; Metazoa; Chordata; Aves; Passeriformes; Formicariidae
Description: tRNA-Tyr
Source: RNAcentral